ACGGAAGGCAGCAGUAGGGAAUCUUCGGCAAUGGGGGCAACCCUGACCGAGCAACGCCGCGUGAGUGAAGAAGGUUUUCGGAUCGUAAAGCUCUGUUGUAAGAGAAGAACGUGUGUGAGAGUGGAAAGUUCACACAGUGACGGUAACUUACCAGAAAGGGACGGCUAACUACGUGCCAGCAGCCGCGGUAAUACGUAGGUCCCGAGCGUUGUCCGGAUUUAUUGGGCGUAAAGGGAGCGCAGGCGGUUUAAUAAGUCUGAAGUUAAAGGCAGUGGCUUAACUAUUGUUCGCUUUGGAAACUGUUAGACUUGAGUGCAGAAGGGGAGAGUGGAAUUCCAUGUGUAGCGGUGAAAUGCGUAGAUAUAUGGAGGAACACCGGUGGCGAAAGCGGCCCUCUGGUCUGUAACUAACGCUGAGGCUCGAAAGCGUGGGGAGCAUACAGGAUUAGAUACCCUGGUA
This 459-nucleotide ribosomal RNA is filed under the name uncultured Streptococcus sp. Its description in RNAcentral is "partial 16S ribosomal RNA". It matches the Rfam family "Bacterial small subunit ribosomal RNA", at positions 341 to 792 of the family's 1533-position model. Lineage: Bacteria; Bacillati; Bacillota; Bacilli; Lactobacillales; Streptococcaceae. The record is from RNAcentral.